Molecule: long non-coding RNA, 244 nt
Filed under: Lathyrus oleraceus (garden pea)
Lineage: Eukaryota; Viridiplantae; Streptophyta; Magnoliopsida; Fabales; Fabaceae
Description: Pisum sativum (pea) long non-coding RNA (PSAT_LNC028562)
Source: RNAcentral
GACAUACCAGAUGAUAUUUAUUUGUGACAUUUGAGACAUUUUCUGUUUGUGUGAAAUAAAAAAUAAAAGACUCUUAAUUUAUAGAAGUUGUAGACGCAUGUGGACCUCAAAUUUUUUAUCAUGUAUUAGUGUUGGUUUCAAAGAUAUAUUCCCGGUACUAUGCCUUAUUAUCUUAUUCCAGAUAUACAUCUUCGGAACAUAUCUUGAACCAGGCAGAAAAUAGAACCUAUGUGUUUUGUUUGGC